AGUGGCGAACGGGUGAGUAAUACAUCGGAACGUGCCCUGUAGUGGGGGAUAACUAGUCGAAAGAUUAGCUAAUACCGCAUACGACCUGAGGGUGAAAGUGGGGGACCGCAAGGCCUCAUGCUAUAGGAGCGGCCGAUGUCUGAUUAGCUAGUUGGUGGGGUAAAGGCCCACCAAGGCGACGAUCAGUAGCUGGUCUGAGAGGACGAUCAGCCACACUGGGACUGAGACACGGCCCAGACUCCUACGGGAGGCAGCAGUGGGGAAUUUUGGACAAUGGGCGAAAGCCUGAUCCAGCAAUGCCGCGUGUGUGAAGAAGGCCUUCGGGUUGUAAAGCACUUUUGUCCGGAAAGAAAUGGCUCUGGUUAAUACCUGGGGUCGAUGACGGUACCGGAAGAAUAAGGACCGGCUAACUACGUGCCAGCAGCCGCGGUAAUACGUAGGGUCCAAGCGUUAAUCGGAAUUACUGGGCGUAAAGCGUGCGCAGGCGGUUGUGCAAGACCGAUGUGAAAUCCCCGAGCUUAACUUGGGAAUUGCAUUGGUGACUGCACGGCUAGAGUGUGUCAGAGGGGGGUAGAAUUCCACGUGUAGCAGUGAAAUGCGUAGAGAUGUGGAGGAAUACCGAUGGCGAAGGCAGCCCCCUGGGAUAACACUGACGCUCAUGCACGAAAGCGUGGGGAGCAAACAGGAUUAGAUACCCUGGUAGUCCACGCCCUAAACGAUGUCAACUAGUUGUUGGGGAUUCAUUUCCCUUAGUAAGUUCCCCGCCUGGGGAGUACGGCCGCAAGGCUAAAAACUCAAAGCAAUUGACGGGGACCCGCACAAGCGGCGGAGCAUGCGGAUUAAUUUGAUGCAACGCGAAGAACCUUCCCAAGGCUUAACAUAUAGAGGAAACGUCUGGAAACAGUCGCCCCGCAAGGUCUCUAUACAGGGUGGUGCAUGGUUGUCGUCAGCUCGUGUCGUGAGAUGUUGGGUUAAGUCCCGCAACGAGCGCAACCCUCGUUUUAUGUUGCCAGCACGUAAUGGUGGGAACUCAUGGGAUACUGCCGGGGUCAACUCGGAGGAAGGUGGGGAUGACGUCAAAUCAUCAUGCCCCUUAUGUCUUGGGCUUCACGCAUGCUACAAUGGCCGGUACAAAGGGCUGCAAUACCGUAAGGUGGAGCGAAUCCCAAAAAGCCGGUCCCAGUUCGGAUUGAGGUCUGCAACUCGACCUCAUGAAGUCGGAGUCGCUAGUAAUCGCAGAUCAGCAACGCUUCGGUGAAUACGUUCCCGGGUCUUGUUCACACCGCCCGUCA
Molecule: ribosomal RNA, 1292 nt
Filed under: Cupriavidus sp. juv990
Lineage: Bacteria; Pseudomonadati; Pseudomonadota; Betaproteobacteria; Burkholderiales; Burkholderiaceae
Description: bacterial SSU rRNA
Rfam family: Bacterial small subunit ribosomal RNA
Source: RNAcentral